This 253-nucleotide ribosomal RNA is filed under the name uncultured bacterium. RNAcentral describes it as "partial 16S ribosomal RNA". It matches the Rfam family "Bacterial small subunit ribosomal RNA", at positions 524 to 776 of the family's 1533-position model. The record is from RNAcentral.
UACAGAGGUCCCGAGCGUUGUUCGGAUUCAUUGGGCGUAAAGGGUGCGUAGGCGGCGGGGUCAGUUUGAUGUGAAAUCCCGGGGCUCAACCCUGGAAUUGCAUUGAAUACUACCUUGCUAGAGUACCGGAGAGGAAACUGGAAUUUACGGUGUAGCAGUGAAAUGCGUAGAGAUCGUAAGGAAGACCAGUGGCGAAGGCGAGUUGCUGGACGGUAACUGACGCUGAGGCACGAAGGCCAGGGGAGCAAACGGG